AGUUGCGAAGGCGGCUCUCUGGACUGUAACUGACGCUGAGGCACGAAAGCGUGGGGAGCAAACAGGAUUAGAUACCCUGGUAGUCCACGCUGUAAACGAUGAGUACUAGGUGUCGGGGGUUACCCCCUUCGGUGCCGCAGCUAACGCAUUAAGUACUCCGCCUGGGAAGUACGCUCGCAAGAGUGACACUCAAAGGAAUUGACGGGGACCCGCACAAGUAGCGGAGCAUGUGGUUUAAUUCGAAGCAACGCGAAGAACCUUACCUAAGCUUGACAUCCCAAUGACAUCUCCUUAAUCGGAGAGUUCCCUUCGGGGACAUUGGUGACAGGUGGUGCAUGGUUGUCGUCAGCUCGUGUCGUGAGAUGUUGGGUUAAGUCCCGCAACGAGCGCAACCCUUGUCUUUAGUUGCCAUCAUUAAGUUGGGCACUCUAGAGAGACUGCCAGGGAUAACCUGGAGGAAGGUGGGGAUGACGUCAAAUCAUCAUGCCCCUUAUGCUUAGGGCUACACACGUGCUACAAUGGGUAGUACAGAGGGUUGCCAAGCCGUAAGG
This 551-nucleotide ribosomal RNA is filed under the name Clostridioides difficile. RNAcentral describes it as "bacterial SSU rRNA". It matches the Rfam family "Bacterial small subunit ribosomal RNA", at positions 711 to 1262 of the family's 1533-position model. The record is from RNAcentral. Lineage: Bacteria; Bacillati; Bacillota; Clostridia; Peptostreptococcales; Peptostreptococcaceae.